Molecule: ribosomal RNA, 497 nt
Filed under: uncultured bacterium
Lineage: Bacteria
Description: partial 16S ribosomal RNA
Rfam family: Bacterial small subunit ribosomal RNA
Source: RNAcentral
GAUGAACGCUGGCGGCGUGCCUAAUACAUGCAAGUCGAGCGAACAGACGAGGAGCUUGCUCCUCUGACGUUAGCGGCGGACGGGUGAGUAACACGUGGAUAACCUACCUAUAAGACUGGGAUAAAUUCGGGAAACCGGAGCUAAUACCGGAUAACAUGUUGAACCGCAUGGUUCAACAGUGAAAGACGGUUUUGCUGUCACUUAUAGAUGGAUCCGCGUUGCAUUAGCUAGUUGGUAAGGUAACGGCUUACCAAGGCAACGAUGCGUAGCCGACCUGAGAGGGUGAUCGGCCACACUGGAACUGAGACACGGUCCAGACUCCUACGGGAGGCAGCAGUAGGGAAUCUUCCGCAAUGGGCGAAAGCCUGACGGAGCAACGCCGCGUGAGUGAAGAAGGUCUUCGGAUCGUAAAACUCUGUUAUUAGGGAAGAACAAAUGUGUAAGUAACUAUGCACGUCUUGACGGUACCUAAUCAGAAAGCCACGGCUAACUACGCG